AUACGUAGGUGGCAAGCGUUGUCCGGAAUUAUUGGGCGUAAAGCGCGCGCAGGUGGUUCCUUAAGUCUGAUGUGAAAGCCCCCGGCUCAACCGGGGAGGGUCAUUGGAAACUGGGGAACUUGAGUGCAGAAGAGGAUAGUGGAAUUCCAAGUGUAGCGGUGAAAUGCGUAGAGAUUUGGAGGAACACCAGUGGCGAAGGCGACUGUCUGGGCUGUAACGGACACGGAGGCGCGAAAGCGUGGGGAGCAAACAGGAUUAGAUACCCUGGUAUUCGACGCCGUAAACGAUGAGUGCUAAGUGUUGGGGGGUUUCCGCCCCUCAGUGCUGCAGCUAACGCAUUAAGCACUCCGCCUGGGGAGUACGGUCGCAAGACUGAAACUCAAAUGAAUUGGCGGGG
RNAcentral lists this ribosomal RNA (397 nucleotides) under uncultured bacterium. Its description in RNAcentral is "partial 16S ribosomal RNA". It matches the Rfam family "Bacterial small subunit ribosomal RNA", at positions 523 to 918 of the family's 1533-position model. The record is from RNAcentral.